AGCUGUUGUAAUUGUGAGUGAGUGAGUGUAGUCAAGUGUCAUGUAGGUGGAGGGCAGAGUGCUCCCAGGGUCUCAUUGUUACUGCAAUGUAAACAUUCAGGGCAGCUGCGGUGAGGUCCCAUUGGUCAGCUUCCUCUCUACUCUCUGCUCAGCACACACACACUUCCUGUCAGGCAUGCAAGGUUAGAGCUUAGCUAAAUUUAGUGCCUUGGCUUAUGGUCCUCAACUGCCGUGACUGUAUAAAAGGGGUUGAGCUGCCUCUAAACCUGAACAAACCAAACACAGACACCACUCUGAUCCUAGAAGCUUGUCCUACAGGAUGAAACCCAGAAGAUUACUUUUGUCUGUGGCUCCUCUACCGACAAUAACAGAAUCGCAUGAGGACCUCUCGCAGUCCCUGGAUGAAUAUGUGAACUCCAUUAAAGAACUGGCCCAGCCUGCUUGCGGCCCUUUGAGGAUAUCCAGGACUCACAGGCGUAAACCCGUGGGGAAACAUGCGGGCUCUACCUCAACGCCGCGCAGCGCUUCCCGGGCUCUGCAGCCCCGUCGCGCUUCCCUCGGCCUGGACGAGGUCACGCUGAGGUUUAGCAGCCAGGUGGCCUGCGGCGCUAAAGAUCCACUGGACUGGUUGUUUGCACAGACACACUUACAGUCACACGGUGAGAAUUUGCGCAGGACUGACAGCGCACCUGCUGCUUUGUGGUUACUCUAAUGUGCCAAUGUGUAAUGACAUGCUGACGGGAGGAUAACUCUGGACGUUUGAUGGAUGAACGCAAUGGAGGAUCUCAUGAAUUGAACUUCUUAAUUUAUUGUCUGAACAGACUUUUUGUACAAAGAUUCUAAUGUUUACACCAUGUCAAAGUCAUGGUUUUCUACAUUCUAUGCUUUUUAAAUAAAUUUAAAAAGUAAAUUGA
Molecule: long non-coding RNA, 914 nt
Organism: Megalobrama amblycephala (Wuchang bream)
Lineage: Eukaryota; Metazoa; Chordata; Actinopteri; Cypriniformes; Xenocyprididae
Exons: 2
Source: RefSeq, a predicted model, not a curated record